Molecule: RNA transcript, 3436 nt
Organism: Nilaparvata lugens (brown planthopper)
Lineage: Eukaryota; Metazoa; Arthropoda; Insecta; Hemiptera; Delphacidae
Gene: nab
Gene name: NGFI-A-binding protein homolog
Exons: 13
Source: RefSeq, a predicted model, not a curated record
AACUAGAUUGUCAGACUAAGUCGAGUCGUGUUUGUGUUUGUAUCGUUGGCGCGCGCUCGAUUCGGUCUAACAUAACCUCAAAGUAGACAAUGUUACUUGGAGCCGGCUUCAUUAGUUGCUGUCGAGUGUUUCACAUGUUUCUACAUUCGAGAUUACUUCGGUGAUACUUCCACCCUGAUAAACUGAAUUUUUCAAUCAUUCUUGAUAUUUCAACUGAAUAAUAAUUUUGAAUGUUUGACGAUUACUUUUUUAGAGGUUAGUUUUCCAAACAAACAGGCUUAGCCUAAUAUUUGUGAGGAAAAUAUCAAGCAGAUUGUAUUACAGUGAACCGAUGGAAUAUACACCGUCGGAGGUGUCAACUGCCUCGACAACCACGGCUGCCACCUCCUCCUCCUCCACCUCCUCCUCAAUCAACCACCACCCGGUUUCCGGAACUCCUCCUCUCUCGCUUCCGCAGCAGGCGACCGCAGCCGCAGGCAGCACCACCGCCUCCGCAGCUGCGGCUGUCACCAGCAGCAGUGGCGUCAAGAUACUCAGCCGAAACGCCAACGGCACAUUAAUCUACACCCAUAGACCAAGAGACGAGGCUGAACUGCAACUCUAUAGGGUUAUGCAGAGGGCAAGUUUGUUGGCAUACUACGACACGCUCUUGGAAAUGGGUGGUGAUGAUGUGCAACAGCUGUGCGAAGCUGGAGAAGAGGAAUUUCUGGAAAUCAUGGCGCUAGUUGGAAUGGCUUCGAAGCCCCUGCACGUCAGGAGGUUGCAGAAAGCAUUACAAGAAUGGCUUAGCAAUCCUUCUAUGUUCCAGAUGCCACUUGGAGCCACUCCAAGCAUUUCGUCGAGUCGAUCCGAAGCGCUUCCCCUUCCCCUCAGUCCCCAGGCCACAUCCCCCAGUCCCCUCCCCACCACCACCAUUUCCACUUCUGCGCCUUCCCCAAACAAUCUGGGAGCCGACUCGUGUCCGCGAACAAGCCCAGGUGUGGGCAGUGCAGCCCGCAGCUGCAGUCCCCCCGGCUCCCCGAUGCAGGGGACCCCCGUCCUGGUCGCCAGUCAGAUCGCGCGACUCGCCGAGGCCGCUCAGCGACUGGUCAGGAAUCUGCCGCAUCUCGAGCCCAAGAUCAGUGUCGCCAAGAAGAAGAGCUGCAAGGAUCUUGAGAUGCUGCUUGGUAUGCCUGAAGACGACCCCCGAAGGAUGGACCAGAUAAGGAAGUUCGCGGCCAUCUACGGAAGGUUUGACUGCAAGAGAAAGCCUGAGAAACCGCUCACUCUUCAUGAGGUUUCUGUGAAUGAAGCGGCAGCUCAAAUUUGCAGACUGGCACCAGCACUUUUAACCAGGAGAGAUGAGCUGUUCCCAUUGGCCAGACAAGUUGUUAGAGACUCUGGAUACCACUAUUCCAAAGGACAUUCCAAAUCAUAUUCUAGUCUUAGUAUGCGAAAUAGCAGCAUGAAUGGCGACAACGGAGGACCAAUGAAGAGAGCGAGACUGGACGGUUGUUCACCGAUUUCCGUUCUUCCUUCUGACUCAACUGAAGAAUUGGCACUUCGCUUGAAACGUCAGGAACGCCUCUCUCAAGUAGGUGACGAGCUGAGGAGAGUAACGGAGCAAGUAGAGCAAGUGUACCGAGAGUCGUCUGCUGAGUUUUCACUCCACCUGCAGGUGGAAGCACUGCAGACGCGGCAGGCCCAACUCCUCUUGGAGCAAAAUGAGCUACUGAAGCAGCACAACUCUGUACACCACAAUCACCACAGGCUUUACAGGAGGCCAAGCCGAACAUCAUGUUUUGACUCAGAGAAACUUGAUACAGACGAUACUGAUUCACAAUUCUCCUUCAGUAAUGCUAGUUCUCCUUCUCAGGAAAUUGGUGACUCAAGAGACUCUUUGCGGGAGUCUGACAGCAAUGAUCUGAGACAGGUAAAACAGGAACCUGAAGGGGAAGGUGCUUCAUGGAGUUUCCGAGGUCGGGACAUCUUUCCGAUGAGGGAGAGAACGGCAACAACGGGGACAAGGAUUUAUUGGUAACCAAAAACGAGCCACAAGACAACAACCACUAUGAAGACUCAUUUUACCAAGAGAAUAAAGUUCAGGUGAUUGCAUCUAGUGGUGGCAACAUAAUAGCAGUGGCCAAUCCAGCUCUGUCCAUGUCCCCCGCCAUCGCAGAGCCGCUGCUCAAGAAAGAACUGUCUUCGACCGACAAUAACUAAUUAGAUAGAUUAGAAUUAUGUAAUUGCUUAUAUCGACAUAAAGUGAGAACAAAGACAAUGCAAAUGUUGUAGAAUCAUGAUAGAUACGUUAGAAGAAGAAAUCGCUAUUUAAUUGUAUUACAGUAUUGAUUGUUCAUUCAUAGAGAAUUUUUUCACCUAGUAAUGGUGAGAAUAAAUCUAAUGCAAUCUAUUCAAGUUUGAAAGAGUUAAAUUUUGGAUCUGAACAGGAUCUUUAUAAUUUCUCUGUAAUUGUAAGUUUAAUCAAUCCAUUAAUAUCCAUAGAAAAUCUCUAUAUUCUAGGCCUAUUCAAAUUUGUACUUAUAAAAAUAUUGAGGAAAUAGAACAACAAUUUAAGAUUCUUUAUUUCACAAUAUAAUUAUAAAGAAAUGAUACUUCCUUUUGAAUCAAAUAACAAUUACAUUUGAUGGUUCAAUAUUUUCCCAGGUUAAAUGUAUUGUUAUACUAGAAUGUACAAUUUUUAAUUGUAUAUUGCUAUUUCGAUAUGAUGUUUUACAGCUCUUAAAAUUUUGGAAAAUAUCAAUUAAAUAUUAAUAAAAUUCCUUUUUUUGUAAUGGUAAUUGAGUUUGCUGUUGUAUAACUUGUUAGAUGUUCACCAUUGAUACAAUAAUACUAUGAAAAACUGGACUGUCUGGUUCAGAUGAUCAAUAAUAUGAUCAUUGUUUGAAUGCUCAUUCAAACAUUUUAGAUGCUCAUUUCAAUAUUUUACGAAAAUAAAUGAACAUGUUCAAGUUCUUUAUGUUUUUUCGUAUAUAAUAACAUAGCUUAUAUAGUUCUUGAAGAAUAGGAAAUUUAUUUGAAUGUAAGUAAUAUUUUUUUACUAAAAUCAAACCUUUAUUAGCUUUCAAUUUACCAAGUCAAUAAAAUCGAGUCUAAUGUAUUUUCUUACCAAGAAGUUUGAUGAAUCUGUUUGAAAGUUGCAAAAACCUUACGUCAGAAGGUUUUUUAUUGUUUACACUUUUACAGUAUCAAUCACGCUGAGAAGAAAUGAUUGCGUAUAGUAUUUAAAUUUCAUUAGACAAUAAGGAAAUGAGAUGCAUUGCUGAAAAAUAGACUAGUAGCUAUUAGGCUACUGAAAUGAUGAUAUUAUACUGAAUCUGAUCUUUUCUGUGUGAUUCAGUAUAAGAAGAUUCUCAUUUGAUUUGUGUGGAAUAAAAAAAUGUACAAAAUUGAGCUGUAGAAAAAUAUCAUAAUCCAUUAAAAAUUAUUAUUAGUU